This 310-nucleotide unclassified non-coding RNA is filed under the name uncultured fungus. RNAcentral's name for it is "partial contains 5.8S ribosomal RNA and internal transcribed spacer 2". The stretch from base 1 to 133 matches the Rfam family "5.8S ribosomal RNA", at positions 22 to 154 of the family's 154-position model. The record is from RNAcentral. Lineage: Eukaryota; Fungi.
UGGUUCUGGCAUCGAUGAAGAACGCAGCAAAAUGCGAUAAGUAGUGUGAAUUGCAGGCUUUAGUGAAUCAUCAAAUCUUUGAACGCACAUUGCGCCCCUUAGUAUUCUAUUGGGCAUGCUUGUUUGAGCGUCAUUUUACACCUCAAGAUGUACUUGGUGUUGGGCGACUGUCUACUAGAUAGACUCGCUUUAAAUGUAUUAGUGGUGGCUCUACUUGCUUUCACGCAGCACUAUGCAGUCUAAGAGUAGUAGAUGCAGCCCCUAAAGAAAUUACAAGUCUGACCUCAAAUCAAGUAGGGAUACCCGCUGA